GGGGUGCUCGAGUGGCGAACGGGUGAGUAACACGUGAGUAACCUGCCCUUGACUUCGGGAUAACUUCAGGAAACUGGGGCUAAUACCGGAUAGGAGCUCCUGCUGCAUGGUGGGGGUUGGAAAGUUUCGGCGGUUGGGGAUGGACUCGCGGCUUACCAGCUUGUUGGUGGGGUAGUGGCUUACCAAGGCUUUGACGGGUAGCCGGCCUGAGAGGGUGACCGGCCACAUUGGGACUGAGAUACGGCCCAG
Molecule: ribosomal RNA, 249 nt
Filed under: uncultured Actinomycetales bacterium
Lineage: Bacteria; Bacillati; Actinomycetota; Actinomycetes; Actinomycetales
Description: partial 16S ribosomal RNA
Rfam family: Bacterial small subunit ribosomal RNA
Source: RNAcentral